Molecule: ribosomal RNA, 536 nt
Filed under: uncultured bacterium
Lineage: Bacteria
Description: bacterial LSU rRNA
Rfam family: Bacterial large subunit ribosomal RNA
Source: RNAcentral
GAGCGCACGGGGGGAUGCCUUGGCGUCAAAGUGCCGAAGAAAGGACGUGCAGCGCUGCGAAAAAGCUGUGGGGAAUUGCGCUGGAGUGUUGAUCCACAGAUAUCCGAAUGGGGAAACCCGGCCUGAGGAAAGUCAGGUCAGCCGCUGGUGAAUAUAUAGCCAGUGAGCGGGGAACUCGGGGAACUGAAACAUCUAAGUACCCGGAGGAGAAGAGAAUAUUCCGUGAGUAGUGGCGAGCGAAAGCGGAGGAGCCCAAACCAGGAAGGGGCAACCUUUCUUGGGGUUGUAGGACAGACAGCAGGAACCAACCGAUAAUGGAACGGUAUUGGGAAAGCCGACCGAAGAGGGUGAGAGUCCCGUACAUGAAAUUGGUGAAGUUCUGGUUUGUAUCCUGAGUACUGCGGGGCACGCUAACCCUGCAGGAAGCUGGGGGGCCCGACCCGUCCCAAGGCUAAAUACACUUGACGACCGACAGUGAACCAGUACCGUGAGGGAAAGGUGAAAAGCACCCCUGCUAGGGGAGUGAAAUAGAACCU